Molecule: ribosomal RNA, 80 nt
Filed under: Clostridioides difficile
Lineage: Bacteria; Bacillati; Bacillota; Clostridia; Peptostreptococcales; Peptostreptococcaceae
Source: RNAcentral
UGGUUAUAAUAGCAGAGAGGAUACACCUGUUCCCAUUCCGAACACAGAAGUUAAGCUCUCUAGCGCUGAUGGUACUUGGU